UACGUAGGGUGCAAGCGUUGUCCGGAAUUAUUGGGCGUAAAGAGCUCGUAGGCGGUUUGUCGCGUCGGCUGUGAAAGCCCGGAGCUCAACUCCGGGUCUGCAGUCGAUACGGGCAGACUUGAGUGUUGCAGGGGAGACUGGAAUUCCUGGUGUAGCGGUGAAAUGCGCAGAUAUCAGGAGGAACACCGGUGGCGAAGGCGGGUCUCUGGGCCGUAACUGACGCUGAGGAGCGAAAGCAUGGGGAGCGAACAGG
Molecule: ribosomal RNA, 253 nt
Filed under: uncultured bacterium
Lineage: Bacteria
Description: partial 16S ribosomal RNA
Rfam family: Bacterial small subunit ribosomal RNA
Source: RNAcentral